UCAAUGGAUGGGGUAUUUUUUUUCUGUGUCACUCUGCCUUUCAAACAAACAAUAAGGAAAUCUUUUUGAAGAAAACAAAACACAUGUUUCCUGCUGAUGGAGUCCGUAUAGUCAUCAAAUUUUCUGUGGGAUGGCUCCACAGAUG
Non-coding RNA from Lepus europaeus (European hare), 145 nucleotides. The record is from RefSeq and is a predicted model, not a curated record. Lineage: Eukaryota; Metazoa; Chordata; Mammalia; Lagomorpha; Leporidae.